This 481-nucleotide ribosomal RNA is filed under the name uncultured bacterium. Its description in RNAcentral is "partial 16S ribosomal RNA". It matches the Rfam family "Bacterial small subunit ribosomal RNA", at positions 28 to 523 of the family's 1533-position model. The record is from RNAcentral.
GACGAACGCUGGCGGCGUGCUUAACACAUGCAAGUCGAGCGGAAAGGCCACUUCGGUGGUACUCGAGCGGCGAACGGGUGAGUAACACGUGAGUAAUCUGCCCUUGGCUUUGGGAUAGCCACCGGAAACGGUGAUUAAUACCGGAUACGACCACUUUCCGCAUGGGCUGGUGGUGGAACGUUGUUUCGGCCAGGGAUGGGCCCGCGGCCUAUCAGCUUGAUGGUGAGGUAAUGGCUCACCAUGGCUUCGACGGGUAGCCGGCCUGAGAGGGUGACCGGUCACACUGGGACUGAGACACGGCCCAGACUCCUACGGGAGGCUGCAGUGGGGAAUAUUGGACAAUGGGCGGAAGCCUGAUCCAGCAACGCCGCGUGAGGGAUGACGGCCUUCGGGUUGUAAACCUCUUUCAGCAGGGACGAAGCGCAGGUGACGGUACCUGCAGAAGAAGCACCGGUCAACUACGUGCCAGCAGCCGCCGUAA